ACGUAGGGGGCGAGCGUUGUCCGGAAUCAUUGGGCGUAAAGAGCUCGUAGGCGGUUCAGUAAGUCGGCUGUGAAAUUCCGAGGCUCAACCUCGGAACUGCAGUCGAAACUACUGUGACUCGAGUCCGGUAGAGGAGAAUGGAAUUCCCGGUGUAGCGGUGAAAUGCGCAGAUAUCGGGAGGAACACCAGUAGCGAAGGCGGCUCUCUGGGCCGGUACUGACGCUGAGGAGCGAAAGCGUGGGGAGCAAACAGGA
RNAcentral lists this ribosomal RNA (254 nucleotides) under uncultured prokaryote. RNAcentral describes it as "partial 16S ribosomal RNA". It matches the Rfam family "Bacterial small subunit ribosomal RNA", at positions 525 to 777 of the family's 1533-position model. The record is from RNAcentral.